RNAcentral lists this ribosomal RNA (464 nucleotides) under uncultured bacterium. RNAcentral's name for it is "partial 16S ribosomal RNA". It matches the Rfam family "Bacterial small subunit ribosomal RNA", at positions 28 to 506 of the family's 1533-position model. The record is from RNAcentral.
GACGAACGCUGGCGGCGUGCUUAACACAUGCAAGUCGAACGGAAAGGCCCCUUUGGGGGUCCUCGAGUGGCGAACGGGUGAGUAACACGUGAGUAACCUGCCCUUGACUUCGGGAUAACUUCAGGAAACUGGGGCUAAUACCGGAUAGGAAUCCUUGCUGCAUGGUGGGGGUUGGAAAGCUUCGGCGGUUUUGGAUGGAAUCGCGGCUUAUCAGCUUGUUGGUGGGGUAGUGGCUUACCAAGGCUUUGACGGGUAGCCGGCCUGAGAGGGCGACCGGCCACAUUGGGACUGAGAUACGGCCCAGACUCCUACGGGAGGCAGCAGUGGGGAAUAUUGCACAAUGGGCGGAAGCCUGAUGCAGCAACGCCGCGUGCGGGAUGACGGCCUUCGGGUUGUAAACCGCUUUCAGCAGGGGCGAAGCUUGUGGUGACGGUACCUGCAGAAGAAGCACCGGCUAACUACGU